This 253-nucleotide ribosomal RNA is filed under the name uncultured bacterium. RNAcentral's name for it is "partial 16S ribosomal RNA". It matches the Rfam family "Bacterial small subunit ribosomal RNA", at positions 524 to 776 of the family's 1533-position model. The record is from RNAcentral.
UACGUAGGGUGCAAGCGUUGUCCGGAAUUAUUGGGCGUAAAGAGCUCGUAGGCGGUCUGUCACGUCGGCUGUGAAAACCCGAGGCUCAACCUCGGGCCUGCAGUCGAUACGGGCAGACUAGAGUUCGGUAGGGGAGACUGGAAUUCCUGGUGUAGCGGUGAAAUGCGCAGAUAUCAGGAGGAACACCGGUGGCGAAGGCAGCUCGCUGGGACGGUACUGACGCUGAGGCGCGAAAGCGUGGGGAGCGAACAGG